UUUAGGGCUAAGUCAAAUGCUAAGAAAACAGUUUCUGUUCCACAAUACAGGUAUAAAGACUACAGAGAGAACAAUCUAUCAUCAUGGAUAUACAAGAAAGUAAGUUUUAAGGCAUAAACAAUAAGCACAAUUUAUUUUAACAUUCAUUUUACGUAUAAAUUUUGUAAAAUAUAUUAAAAAUUUGCUAGACUACAAUCUUUAAACAUUUUGUUUCGUUUAACAUAGAACAUUGAAUCAAAUAAACUCAUCAUAGAUAGAUACCAGGAUUAAAAUUUGAUAUUUACGCCAGACACUCAUUUCGUCUACAAAAAACUCAUCAGUGACGCGCGAAUCAAAAAAUGUUUCAAAGGCAAAAUAAAGUACGAAGUUGAAGAGCAAAGUUGUUAAAACUAGAAUAAAACACGAUAAACAACGAACGCGUUGAACAUCGGCAAUCGCCUUAAUUGACAAAUAAGAUACAAACUAGAUGGUAAACCAAUAACUAAGCCAAUACAGCAGAAGGAGACAGGAUUUGAUAGUGUUAAAAUACGUGGUAAAAAUGCCAUUGCAUCCACAACAUCCACCAUAUGCAUGCAGUGGCAGAUCUAGAAGGUAGUUCAUGGGGUUAAACGCCCCUUUUUCUGAUGAUCGAUGCAAUUGAAUGAGGGCAUGUGGUUGGACCCCUCCUUUUGGCACUAUCCUGGGCUGUUGGGAAUCCCCUGUUUAAAAAUGGUUAGAUCCGCCCCUGAUCUGACUAUCUGACUAAAUGACAAGGAUGUAAAACACUUCAAAAUUCUUUCCUCCCUCGGAAAUUUAAAGUAACCAAAAAUGAACGAACAGUGAAAUGAACUUGAAACUAUCAUAAUAAGCUAGGGUUUCGUGCUUUAUUUCAGUGUAAGUUGCUCUUCUGUAGGCUUACCUUUUUUUUUAAACGCAUUCCGUAGAUGCGUCAACAUUGUUUACAAUAUUUAUGUCACCAGUUAUAACGAAACCAGUCGGAAUAUCAAAGAACUGGGAAUUUCAACUCGAUUUCAAUAGAUUAGACUAGUAGUACAAGAAAUUAAAAAUCGAUCGAAAGAAAAUGGAAAAAAAUGUAAAUUUUUGAAAGUCUUCAUCUGUAGUCAAUGAUUCUAAUUGUGCCACAUUUAUUAUAAUAAGGGAAUUUAAAAUAUUGAAUUGUUGAACAGGUGUUUUAAAUUACUAGUAAUCAAACCAAGCCUAGGCUCCGUGUUGGAGGCCAUACAUUGACCGAUAAUGGUUUACUUUUAUAAAUUGUGACCUGGAUGGAAAGUUGUCUCAUUGGCACUCAUACCACAUCUUCCUAUAUCUAUACAAAGAUAAUUUCUGUACUGGAAAACUGCCAUAAAAGAGAGAAAAACAUAUUGCGCAUUAAAACAUUAAUUACAAGAGAGGGGGUAAUUAUUCAACUGUUGUUAUGUUUUUGUUGUCAAAAAAUUCAAUUUAAGGGUAAGCAAUGAAUAAAAGAAACGUUUUCGUUUUAAAACCAUCUUGUUAAUCUUUAAUCUCUGGAGCUAUAUAAACUAAAAAGAUGUACACAGGAUAGUUCUUCCAGCAGAAUAUUAAGUAUAUAGUUUAACAAUUUGACAUACAGAAAUUUAAGGGUUCCCUUAUGAACUGUUCGUUGUCACGAUUUCAGUUCGUUAUUAAUUUGUUCUUGACUGGAUGGCAAAAACAAAUACCUUGACAAUUCGAUAUUAACAUCCAAGUCAAGUUACAUAACAUAUCUUUUUAAUAAGAAAAACAUGUUUCUUAAAUGCAAGAGUGUCAAAAAGCCAACUAAUUUAGCCUUACAUAUUUAUAUAUCUAUCUUGUUCGUAUAUUGUAAAUCUUAGGACUAUAUAUACAUAUAAAAAUAAACUUAAAUGUUUUAAGAUGUGUAUUCAAGAAUUGAAUGCUUCUUUUUGUAACUUCAUUGGGGGUAUAAAAGCGUUGAUCGAAGUACAUUUUGUAUGAAGCGCAACUUAACAAAAUAUGCGCACGAUCAAUGCUUUUACAACCAUACGAAGUGACAAAAAGAAGCAUUCAAUACUUAUAAUUACAUUUUUUGGGUAGGAUCAUGAAAACACGCUUUUUAUCAAGUUUUUAUUUAAUUCACCUUAGCACUUUAUUGCGGGACCUCGUGUCAUCGUGGAUGAUGAAUUUUAUUGUGUAAUGCAAUUGACUAAGGAAUAACGCGAGAUGUGCAGUUAGCCAAUCAUAAUAACUUAUUGUAAUGAAACAUACAGUUAAUGUAAUUAUUACACUAUAUUGUAUAUUGAUGAAAAACCUACAAAAGUUAUAUCCACAGAUAAAUACAUUUUUUGAAAUUUUUUUUUUUAGUUUAUGGACGCUCAAACGAGAUGACGUAUUCGGACAGAAACCAUUUGUUGUAUGUAACUCAUCUGUUUGCGAUUUUUUUACUUUGUAUUAAAAACAUAUAGAAAGA
Molecule: long non-coding RNA, 2425 nt
Filed under: Mytilus galloprovincialis (Mediterranean mussel)
Lineage: Eukaryota; Metazoa; Mollusca; Bivalvia; Mytilida; Mytilidae
Source: RNAcentral